GGGGAAUAUUGCACAAUGGGCGAAAGCCUGAUGCAGCAACGCCGCGUGAGUGAUGAAGGCCUUCGGGUUGUAAACUUCUUUGACGAGGGACGAAAGAAAUGACGGUACCUCGAAAACAAGCCACGGCUAACUACGUGCCAGCAGCCGCGGUAAUACGUAGGUGGCAAGCGUUGUCCGGAUUUACUGGGUGUAAAGGGCGCGUAGGCGGGAUAGCAAGUCAGAUGUGAAAUGCCAGGGCUUAACCCUGGAGCUGCAUUUGAAACUGCUGUUCUUGAGUAUCGGAGAGGCAGGCGGAAUUCCUAGUGUAGCGGUGAAAUGCGUAGAUAUUAGGAGGAACACCAGUGGCGAAGGCGGCCUGCUGGACGAAAACUGACGGUGAGGCGCGAAAGCGUGGGGAGCAAACA
Molecule: ribosomal RNA, 404 nt
Filed under: uncultured Oscillospiraceae bacterium
Lineage: Bacteria; Bacillati; Bacillota; Clostridia; Eubacteriales; Oscillospiraceae
Description: bacterial SSU rRNA
Rfam family: Bacterial small subunit ribosomal RNA
Source: RNAcentral